GCAGUCGUGGCCGAGUGGUAAAAGCGAUGGACUAGAAAUCCAUUGGGGUCUCCCCGCACAGGUUCGAAUCCUGUCGACUGCA
RNAcentral lists this transfer RNA (82 nucleotides) under Ixodes scapularis (black-legged tick). It matches the Rfam family "tRNA". From Rfam's summary of the family: Transfer RNA (tRNA) molecules are approximately 80 nucleotides in length. Their secondary structure includes four short double-helical elements and three loops (D, anti-codon, and T loops). Lineage: Eukaryota; Metazoa; Arthropoda; Arachnida; Ixodida; Ixodidae. The record is from Rfam by way of RNAcentral.